This 460-nucleotide ribosomal RNA is filed under the name uncultured bacterium. Its description in RNAcentral is "partial 16S ribosomal RNA". It matches the Rfam family "Bacterial small subunit ribosomal RNA", at positions 338 to 795 of the family's 1533-position model. The record is from RNAcentral.
ACUACGGGUGGCAGCAGUGAGGAAUAUUGGUCAAUGGGCGCGAGCCUGAACCAGCCAAGUCGCGUGAGGGAAGACGGCCCUACGGGUUGUAAACCUCUUUUGCCGGGGAGCAACGGGCGCCACGUGUGGCGCCACUGAGAGUACCCGGAGAAAAAGCAUCGGCUAACUCCGUGCCAGCAGCCGCGGUAAUACGGAGGAUGCGAGCGUUAUCCGGUUUGAGUGGGUUAAAAGGAUGCGUAGGCGGAGCUUGAAGUCAGUGGUCAAAUUGAGGGGCUCAACCCCUUCCCGCCAUUGAAACUGGCGCUCUUGAGUGGAAGAGAAGUAUGCGGAAUGCGUGGUGUAGCGGUGAAAUGCAUAGAUAUCACGCAGAACCCCGAUUGCGAAGGCAGCAUGCCGGCUUCCGACUGACGCUGAAGCACGAAAGCGUGGGGAUCGAACAGGAUUAGAUACCCUUGUAGUC